This 590-nucleotide ribosomal RNA is filed under the name Uperoleia russelli (Russell's toadlet). RNAcentral describes it as "partial 16S ribosomal RNA". It matches the Rfam family "Bacterial large subunit ribosomal RNA", at positions 1630 to 2535 of the family's 2925-position model. Lineage: Eukaryota; Metazoa; Chordata; Amphibia; Anura; Myobatrachidae. The record is from RNAcentral.
AACCCCGCCUGCAUGUGCGUUAACCUGACACAAGCGAAUCAUAAGAAAGAUUUAAAAAAGCGGAAGGAACUCGGCAAAUCUUAGCCCCGCCUGUUUACCAAAAACAUCACCUCUUGCCCCCCAUAAGAGGCCCAGCCUGCCCAGUGACCCAAUUCAACGGCCGCGGUAUCCUGACCGUGCGAAGGUAGCGUAAUCACUUGUUCUUUAAAUAAGGACUAGUAUGAACGGCAUCACGAGGGCUGUACUGUCUCCCGCCUUUAAUCAGUGAACUUAAUCUCCCCGUGAAGAAGCGGGGAUAAUCUCAUAAGACGAGAAGACCCCAUGGAGCUUUAAACAAAGGGCACCUGCUAACCAAAUCACCCAAGGCAAGCAUUUUGACCCGACGUUUUCGGUUGGGGCGACCACGGAGAACAACCCACCCUCCAUGCUGAAAGAUACCCUCUAAGCCAAAAUAAACCUAUUUAAGCAUCAGCACCCUGACACCCAUUGACCCAAUCUACUUGAUCAACGAACCAAGUUACCCUGGGGAUAACAGCGCAAUCCACUUCAAGAGCCCCUAUCGACAAGUGGGUUUACGACCUCGAUGUUGG